CCUUCGCAGAAGUGUCUCGGGCUGAUAUGGCCCUCUUCCCAUCCCCUGACGGCGGAAGCCCACAAGGAGCCUCUAGCCCCAGAGCCCGGAGCCCGGAGCCUCUGGGGUCGAGCCCCCGGCCCUCCCGGUUUGCCCGACCCGGAGCAGACUUUCACUUUGCCCGGCUCCACGAACAGCUCCCACCUCCGAUCCGAUGAAGACUCGCAGCUACAGUCCCUGCCCCCUGGAACGACGACAUCAACAAAAGACUCUGAACACCAAACUGGACAGUUGUGAGAGUCAUAGAGAAAGUUGAGCUGCAUUUGUUGGGACUCCGUAGAGGGAAACACCAAAAACCUUCUGGUGGUGAGCUGCAGUUUCUUGCUGCUUCUGCAGACUUAGGCUGACUGGAUGCAUGUGCUGAGGUAGUGCCCCUGCUGCCGAUUCCUGUUUGCUAUCCCGACUCUCCUGGACUGGACUGCUGGUGUAUUAUCUGUGAAGUGUGUGCGAGUGGAUUGAGCCGCUGCUGACCUGUGAACUGAACUGCUGAUUUCCAGAUAACACAGACAGGAGCUGCUCCAAAGAACCUUUCCAAACAGGUUCACCAACCCCCAACCCCAUCCUUCCUUUCCCACUACCUCUGGUGGGUGGUAGGAUAAAAGAAAGGUUAAAGCAUUUAAGAACCAUCAAUUAACCAUCAGUAAAAUAGACGUUUGAAAAAAUUAAAAUUACAAAGAACUCUAGAGGCAGAGGCAGAAGCAGGGAGAAAUCUUUGAGUU
Molecule: long non-coding RNA, 758 nt
Filed under: Rattus norvegicus (Norway rat)
Lineage: Eukaryota; Metazoa; Chordata; Mammalia; Rodentia; Muridae
Description: long non-coding RNA NONRATT023883
Source: RNAcentral